RNA transcript from Apis dorsata (giant honeybee), 1241 nucleotides. It is a transcript of the gene named pre-mRNA-splicing factor SPF27, with no coding region annotated. The record is from RefSeq and is a predicted model, not a curated record. NCBI's taxonomy places the organism in Eukaryota, Metazoa, Arthropoda, Insecta, Hymenoptera, Apidae. The transcript is spliced from 5 exons.
UACGUCAUAUAAGAUUUAAACUAUGUUGAAUAAUUAAUGAAAGUAAAUUGUUACUAUAAGUUUUUAUUUAUACAAUUUGUAUUAAAUGGCAGGAGAAGUUGUAGUUGAUGCUUUACCAUAUAUUGAUCAAGGAUAUGAUGAACCUGGAGUCAGAGAAGCGGCUUUGGCUAUGGUUGAAGAAGAAACACGUCGCUAUAGACCAACGAAAAAUUAUUUAGAACAUUUGGUAUCAUUAAAUAUAACUGCUUUUGAAACAGAAGUAAUGAAACAUGAAUUUGAACGAAUGCAAAACCGUUUACCUAUGGAAGUACUUAGUAUGAAACGUUAUGAAUUACCUCCACCUCCACCAGGUAAAAUGAAUGAUCUUGCAGCAUGGAAUGAAAGUGUAGAAAAUAGCAGCGCACAAUUAGAACAUCAGGCUACAAGAAUUUGCAAUCUUGAAUUAAUGAUGGAAUAUGGAUGUGAAGCAUGGAAAUCUUAUUUAGAAAUAUUAGUGCAAUUAGUAAAUCAAGCCCAAAAACAAUUACAAGCAUUAAGGAAAAAGAUACAAGAAGUUAAUUGGCAAAGAAAAUCUAUGCAAACUCAAGGAGGAGAAAAAUUAAGAGCAUUGGAAGCACAAUGGGUGGGAUUAGUAUCAAAAAAUUAUGAGAUUGAACAAGCAUGUGUACAUUUAGAAGAAGAAAUACAAAAAUCUAUGAUGAAUAAGGGUGAAGGAGUAGAAAUCAAUGAUGUACCAGGAGAGGAAGAACCUGAUGUUCCAGAAAAAAGUGCAACAGAAGUUAUGGCAACAGAAAUGGAUCAACAAGAACAAGAAAAUCAAGAACCCCAAAACAAUGCAUAAAAAUAUAAAUGUAUAAAAUUAUGAGUUAUAUUGGAAAGUCUUGUAUGGUAUCCUAGAGUGUCCAUAGAAAAUAUAAUAUUUUUUAUAAAGUAUUUUUUGUACAAAUAUACCAAUAUAUAUUAAUAAAUAAAUAUAAACAAUACAUAAAUAUCAUAAAAAUUAAUUUAUAAAUAUUAUUUAUCGAUUGUCAUUAAUAUUGAAAUUAUCGUCGAACAUUAAUAUAAAAGAGAUAAUUUAUCACAAUGCCUUAUGGUAUUUCAUGGACUCGAUAUAUUUGUCUCGUUACAUCAGCAUUUUUUGCAACAGCAGCCGGCUCGCAAGUUGUGCAUCUUAUAUAUCGACCGCUUGAUGAUUUAGAUGAUCUUAUAGAAGAAGCAUUACAAAAAAAACUAUCAGAACA